GUCAUUUUUGUGAUCUGCAGCUAGUGUUCUCUCUCCAGUUGCAUAGUCACAAAAGUGAUC
This 60-nucleotide microRNA precursor is filed under the name Canis lupus familiaris (dog). RNAcentral describes it as "Cfa-Mir-153-P2_pre stem-loop". It matches the Rfam family "mir-153 microRNA precursor family", at positions 7 to 67 of the family's 73-position model. Lineage: Eukaryota; Metazoa; Chordata; Mammalia; Carnivora; Canidae. The record is from RNAcentral.